This 480-nucleotide ribosomal RNA is filed under the name uncultured bacterium. Its description in RNAcentral is "bacterial SSU rRNA". It matches the Rfam family "Bacterial small subunit ribosomal RNA", at positions 26 to 518 of the family's 1533-position model. The record is from RNAcentral.
CGAGGACGAACGCUGGCGGCACGCCUAACACAUGCAAGUCGAACGGAGAUUUGAGAGCUUGCUCUUAAAUCUUAGUGGCGGACGGGUGAGUAACACGUGAGCAACCUGCCUCUGAGAGAGGGAUAGCUUCUGGAAACGGAUGGUAAUACCUCAUAACAUUACAUGACCGCAUGAUCGUGUAAUCAAAGAUUUAUCACUCAGAGAUGGGCUCGCGUCUGAUUAGCUAGUUGGUGAGGUAACGGCCCACCAAGGCGACGAUCAGUAGCCGGACUGAGAGGUUGAACGGCCACAUUGGGACUGAGACACGGCCCAGACUCCUACGGGAGGCAGCAGUGAGGGAUAUUGCACAAUGGAGGAAACUCUGAAUGCAGCGAUGCCGCGUGGAGGAAGAAGGUUUUCGGAUUGUAAACUCCUGUUUCGAGGGACGAUAAUGACGGUACCUCGGGAGGAAGCUCCGGCUAACUACGUGCCAGCAGCGGC